RNAcentral lists this non-coding RNA (701 nucleotides) under Pan troglodytes (chimpanzee). The record is from RNAcentral. Lineage: Eukaryota; Metazoa; Chordata; Mammalia; Primates; Hominidae.
GAAGGAAUCAGGAGGCAGAGCACAUGGUUAAAGCAUGAGAUGUGAAACCAGGAAGAACCAGGUCUGAACCUUAGCUCCACCAGUGGUAGCCCCAAACCUUGGUCCUUUCUGAGCCUGCUUCUUCAACCCUAAGGGAACGCUACACUUCCUUAGAAAUUAAGAGUGUGUGCUACACUGCUUUACCAGAGCAAGACCAAAAGCAGCUUCAAUUAUGGUACAACUGUGUGAAGACACAAUGCGAAACCACUCAAGAAUGCUCACUCAAAUGGAUUUUUACCAUGCUCAUCCCCUAUUCUCCUCUUGCAAUCGGGAUGCUGCCUGACUACCAACACACCUGCACAAAGCCCUCUGCAGCACCUGCCACUGGCCCAUGCUUUUGUCAUUGCCACCGCCAGCUCAGCCUCAUUCCCCUCCAGGCUCUGCUCCAAUGCAUAGGACCACAGGAACUCGGAAACGGGACCCAGAAAGUUGUUUUCUGCAAGUGGAUGGAACAACACAAGCAAUCAGUAUCCUGAAACAGGCCCUGUUCCAACAAACUGACCCAGAAAGGUCUGGUUAGGAGGACAGGACCCUCACUAUACACUAUCACAUUUAAACUAAAAGGAUAUUAUGGAAUUAUGUAGACAUAUCAAGCUGAGAGGAAAGGAAAUCCUAUCAUCUUGCAGGCUUCCUAAUGAUCUUACUUAAAACUGAGUUACUGC